GGAGAAAUUUCUUUUCUUUCUUGUUUGUUAUUACCGGUUAUCCUUGCUUUGAAGUUGACGCUAAUUUCUGUUUGUUGGGAGCUUUGGUUCCCUUUUGAACCUUCCAUUUCUUACAUAAACUCUCAUUUUGCGGGGGUCCAUCCAGCUCCUGGGCGCUGCUGGUUAAGGGUUUUUGGAGGCCUUUUUCCUUGGUUUGUUUUUUGGGUUUUGUAAUUCCAAAGUGUUUUUGUGUAAAUGUGGAGCACUGGAGAACCUGCUGAUUCUUACUACGCUGUCCGGCCUGAGUGCACGGAUGUUGCGAAAAGCCGAUUCAAAAUCAGGGCUGGUAAAACAUUAAGUGCAAGAAAAUGGCAGACUGCUUUUUCUCCAGAAGGGCAUCUAGAUAUAGGCAAGACUCUAAGUCGAAUCCAGCGUGGGGGGAUCCAUCCAUCGAUUAGAGGAGAAGUUUGGGAAAUUUUACUCAGUUGUUAUGAUCCAAAGAGUACAUUUGACGAACGAGAACAGAUACGCCAGCGUAGAAGGACACAAUAUGCUAGGUGGAAGGAAGAGUGCUGUGAAAUAUUUCCUGUCGUUGGAAGUGGCCGGUUUAUUACAGCAGCUGUUAUCACUGAAGAUGGUCAGCCCAUUCAGCAUCCAUUAGUAAUUUUAGAGACAAAUCAAGACAAAGGCUCAGCUUUACCUUCUGAAGAUGGUAAUUCUGCUGAUUCAUCAGAUGCAGAAGCCAUUGCUACUACUUCAGAAAUUAUCAAAAAGCUCAUUAAUCGCGGUCCUUUGGACAAGAAAGUAAUCCAGUGGUUGCUUACUUUACAUCAAAUAGGUCUAGAUGUAGUUCGAACUGACAGGACAUUGGUUUUCUAUGAGAAGCAAGAAAACUUGUCAAAACUUUGGGAUAUUCUUGCUGUUUAUGCCUGGAUUGAUACAGAUGUUGGCUACUGUCAAGGGAUGAGUGACCUUUGUUCCCCCAUGAUAAUGCUUCUUGAAGAUGAAGCAGAUGCAUUUUGGUGCUUUGAACGUCUGAUGCGUAGAUUGCGAGGAAAUUUCAGAUGCACUGACAGCUCUGUUGGGGUGGAGACACAACUUAGUAGUUUAGCUGCAAUUACUCAAGUUAUUGAUCCAAAACUACAUCAGCAUUUAGGUAUUCCCUUGGAUUACAACUUUUUCCAUUCUGUAUUUUUAAGUCAGCCUCUAUGUUAUAUGCAGAUUAAUGAUUGAUUGCUAGAUUGUCUCAGUUUGAGCUAGUGCAUUAUAUUGGUUUGUCAUUUUGAACUUUUUGCUUUUUAUCAAAAGAAGAUAUAGGUUAUCCAAUAGAAGGGGAAAAAAAAGGAACUAUUAUUUACCUUAGAGUUUCAAUUGUAGAUGAUGAAAAAGCCUGACUAUCACCAUAUGUUGGGUUUGUUGCACAAGACAGAAAGAGAAUAAAAAAGGGGCGGCAUCCCCAGUACACAAAGCUUGCCAGUUUGUAGGCAAUAAGGGAGAGAGUAACAGGAUAAAAUUUCCAUAAAUUAGUUUUCUGUGGAGUGUGAUUGCUUCUCUUAAGCUUAAGGUGGCUUAUUGGGUUGCUCUCAGAUUAUAUGCAAAUUGAGAAUUCUGGGUUUUAGGGUAAAGUGGGAGACAUUUCUGUGUUACGGUAAGUUUAAUCCAUUAAAUCCCGGACAAAUUGAAUAUCUUGGAAGCAAUUUUUUAUCCUAUUAUAUGUGUAAGAAAGGAAAAAAUUGUUAGAAAAUUCCCUAAUAUUUUUUUGAAUUUAGAGAAUGUGAUACAAACGAGGAAAAGGUGGAAUUACAGCCUAUCUCUAGGUGUCCAUUUGAACAUGUUUUUUUGUCUUUGUCAAAGUGCAGUUCCAUUUUGAUAUCCAAUAACCAACUUACGUGGCUUUCUCUGUUAGGUGGCAGUUCCUCAGCAAUGAUUCCUUAGCAUUUGACAAUAAUUUCAGAUAUCCUGUGAUUUCAUAUUUUGCAUCACUUGUCAUGUGAUACUUAUUCAUGUUUACCUUCUGUAUUUCUCGAUUUGUUCUCAAAAAUAAAAUAACAAGAAAUCUAUCUUUUGAUCUUGUACCACAGAUGCACUUGGUGGAGGUGAUUAUUUAUUUGCCUUUAGGAUGCUUAUGGUUUUAUUCCGCCGAGAAUUCUCUUUUUGUGACUCACUCUACCUCUGGGAGGUACAAUAAUCGUACUUCUCUAAAACCCUUAUGAUCAAGUACUUUCUGGAUUAACUGAAAUAAACAAAACUUAAAUUCUAAUUUCAUAGAUGUUGUGCUUACUCCUUGGAAUAGUUCCUAAAGUUGAUGAAAUGCGUGCAUAUUCCAUAGAAGACUAUGUAUUAAUCUCAAUCUUGCUGUUCAGCUCCAAGCUGCGGAUUUUAUUCAUGUCAUUUGAAUGAAUGACUUUGAAGGCUAAAUUUUAGUUUCUUGCAGAAAUCUGUCUGGCCAACUUUCUGUUCUGAAUAUGGGUUCUGGACUUCAAAAUUUGCACGAGCCUGUUAAUAGGUUGACACGUCCCCAUCUUUCCUAAUUGAUUCCAAGUGGAAUUCAUAGAUGAGCACAAUGCUUACUCAAGAACUGAAAGCAAAGGCCUAUCUUGAAUAGGGUUAGACAAGGGUUUAUUUUAUGGGAUGGUAGGAACGAAGGAGAGUUGAUGUAAGUCGAUAUGGCUGUGAAUAUACAGCAAGUCCUGAUGCCUCAAUGGCUUAUGCAUUGCAGUUUUUUAUUUGUCAUUGUUGCUUCUUUUAUGGUCUGUUUACUUUUCAUGUUUAUGCAUCUUUAUGUCUAACUAUAAAAGCAUCGAGUUUUUGAUGGAAUCUGCAAUUCUGUAUUUGCCUUCCUGCAUUCUCAGCUUAAGACUAGUUACUCAUAAUUACUGUUCUUUAUUUCUUAAUAUCCAACAGAUGAUGUGGGCCCUUGAAUACGACCCUGACUUGUUCAAUAUGUAUGAAGAAUCUGAAUCAGCUAGUAACAAAGCUGAGGGAUCUAAAGGAAGAGCCAAGUCAUUGCGCCAUUAUGGGAAAUUUGAGAGGGAAAACAUGAAAAAUGGGGCAGGAAAUUCAGAAGCCCCACUUCCCAUCUCUGUUUUCCUUGUUGCCAGUGUCUUGAAAAAUAAGAGCGCAAAACUGUUGACAGAAGCUCGGGGCUUGGAUGAUGUUGUUAAGGUCAGCUUAAUGAGUUUAUUUAUUUGGAUAUGCUUUUGAAGUCUCCAGAUUGCUGUCUAGAAUGGUUUAGGAAGUGGAGAUUGGAGAGCACACAGAAGGAUUAAGGAAAUAUUAGUGGAGAGUGGCAAAGAUCACAGACAAACCAUGCUUUUGUGGGGAUGCAGGGAGGAGGGAUGAUAGGGAUCAUAGUGAAUACUCCUCCCCCACCCCCCCACCAAUACAAAGAAAAGGACAUGAUAAGAAUAGUAUCAUCUUUUGUAUGUGUAUGGGUCUUAAGAUUCAGUCCUAGGAGGCUUAACCCCUUUCUAGUCGCUGCUGUUGUGCAUUCUUCUUGUGAAUUAGUUUAUAAUUUCGAAAUCCCUGAAGUGUUAAUAGGUAUCUGAAAGUCCAGAUCAGAUGUUUGUGUGGCAAUCUAUGGACAAGGUAUUAUGCCCAUGCAAGUCAUACUUCAACUCCUACUUGGCCAACAGCCCAACACGAAUAAUGCUUGUAGAAUUUUUAACACGAAACUUGGACUUGCAUGUGUUAUAUGUUUGUAGUGGGACCAGGUGACUGAGAACAUAAAAUCAUAAGCAUUUGGUAAAUCAUAGUUACAUUUAAGAUAGCAUUUAGUGCAUCCUCAUCUUACUCCUUUGUUGUGAAUAUCUGUUGUUAUUAUACUAUGCUUUGCAGAUACUGAAUGACAUGACUGGAAAUUUAGAUGCCAAAAAAGCAUGCAGCGGGGCAAUGAAACUUCACAAGAAAUACUUAAAGAAGGUUCUUCUCUUACCUUGGGUGGUGCUAUAAAUGUUGAAAAUCUGUUGUGAACUGCAAAAGAAUAAGAAACUCGGAGAAAGUAAAAAAAAAAAUUCAUUGUCUUAUGGCAUAUUUCAUUGAGUUUAUAUAUUAUAAACUCAGGGGAAAGAAUAUAUUGGCAACAAAAAUUGAAAAUACUCCUACACCAAAAGAGUAGAUGACUUCUGGAGGUGACGAGUGGUGUUCAAGUAGUCAUCUCAGCUCAAUAUCUAGAAAAUAUGAGAUAGUAGUCUCCACCCUAUUCAUUUUAGUGGUUAUAAUGAAAAUGUUGAUAGAUGUUGAAAUUAUCUAGCCGGGUGUAUGAUCCAUUUAUCUUUUCUUGGGUUUUUUGCCUGAACUUUAGAUAUUUCUUUUUUAUCAUUCUUCUAGUCAUUCCAUAAACUCAUAGAUUUUUCAUUGCUACUGCAGGCCAAGAAGACUUAGCAUAUGAUGAAAGACAUGA
Molecule: unclassified non-coding RNA, 4381 nt
Filed under: Hevea brasiliensis (rubber tree)
Lineage: Eukaryota; Viridiplantae; Streptophyta; Magnoliopsida; Malpighiales; Euphorbiaceae
Source: RNAcentral